RNAcentral lists this ribosomal RNA (425 nucleotides) under uncultured bacterium. RNAcentral describes it as "bacterial SSU rRNA". It matches the Rfam family "Bacterial small subunit ribosomal RNA", at positions 356 to 773 of the family's 1533-position model. The record is from RNAcentral.
GGGGAAUUUUGGACAAUGGGCGCAAGCCUGAUCCAGCAAUGCCGCGUGCAGGAUGAAGGCCUUCGGGUUGUAAACUGCUUUUGUACGGAACGAAACGGUCCUUUCUAAUACGAGGGGCUAAUGACGGUACCGUAAGAAUAAGCACCGGCUAACUACGUGCCAGCAGCCGCGGUAAUACGUAGGGUGCGAGCGUUAAUCGGAAUUACUGGGCGUAAAGCGUGCGCAGGCGGUUUUGUAAGACAGAUGUGAAAUCCCCGGGCUCAACCUGGGACCUGCAUUGGUGACUGCAAGGCUAGAGUACGGUAGAGGGGGAUGGAAUUCCGCGUGUAGCAGCGAAAUGCGUAGAUAUGCGGAGGAACACCGAUGGCGAAGGCAAUCCCCUGGACCUGUACUGACGCUCAUGCACGAAAGCGUGGGGAGCAAAC